RNAcentral lists this ribosomal RNA (1407 nucleotides) under Escherichia coli. RNAcentral describes it as "bacterial SSU rRNA". It matches the Rfam family "Bacterial small subunit ribosomal RNA". The record is from RNAcentral. Lineage: Bacteria; Pseudomonadati; Pseudomonadota; Gammaproteobacteria; Enterobacterales; Enterobacteriaceae.
UCGAACGGUAACAGGAAGCAGCUUGCUGCUUUGCUGACGAGUGGCGGACGGGUGAGUAAUGUCUGGGAAACUGCCUGAUGGAGGGGGAUAACUACUGGAAACGGUAGCUAAUACCGCAUAACGUCGCAAGACCAAAGAGGGGGACCUUCGGGCCUCUUGCCAUCGGAUGUGCCCAGAUGGGAUUAGCUUGUUGGUGGGGUAACGGCUCACCAAGGCGACGAUCCCUAGCUGGUCUGAGAGGAUGACCAGCCACACUGGAACUGAGACACGGUCCAGACUCCUACGGGAGGCAGCAGUGGGGAAUAUUGCACAAUGGGCGCAAGCCUGAUGCAGCCAUGCCGCGUGUAUGAAGAAGGCCUUCGGGUUGUAAAGUACUUUCAGCGGGGAGGAAGGGAGUAAAGUUAAUACCUUUGCUCAUUGACGUUACCCGCAGAAGAAGCACCGGCUAACUCCGUGCCAGCAGCCGCGGUAAUACGGAGGGUGCAAGCGUUAAUCGGAAUUACUGGGCGUAAAGCGCACGCAGGCGGUUUGUUAAGUCAGAUGUGAAAUCCCCGGGCUCAACCUGGGAACUGCAUCUGAUACUGGCAAGCUUGAGUCUCGUAGAGGGGGGUAGAAUUCCAGGUGUAGCGGUGAAAAUGGCGUAGAAGAUUCGGGAGGAAAUACCCGGUGGCGAAAGGCGGCCCCCCUGGACGAAGACUGACGCUCAGGUGCGAAAGCGUGGGGAGCAAACAGGAUUAGAUACCCCUGGUAGUCCACGCCGUAAACGAUGUCGACUUGGAGGUUGUGCCCUUGAGGCGUGGCUUCCGGAGCUAACGCGUUAAGUCGACCGCCUGGGGAGUACGGCCGCAAGGUUAAAACUCAAAUGAAUUGACGGGGGCCCGCACAAGCGGUGGAGCAAGUGGUUUAAUUCGAUGCAACGCGAAGAACCUUACCUGGUCUUGACAUCCACAGAACUUUCCAGAGAUGAAUUGGUGCCUUCGGGAACUGUGAGACAGGUGCUGCAUGGCUGUCGUCAGCUCGUGUUGUGAAAUGUUGGGUUAAGUCCCGCAACGAGCGCAACCCUUAUCCUUUGUUGCCAGCGGUCCGGCCGGGAACUCAAAGGAGACUGCCAGUGAUAAACUGGAGGAAGGUGGGGAUGACGUCAAGUCAUCAUGGCCCUUACGACCAGGGCUACACACGUGCUACAAUGGCGCAUACAAAGAGAAGCGACCUCGCGAGAGCAAGCGGACCUCAUAAAGUGCGUCGUAGUCCGGAUUGGAGUCUGCAACUCGACUCCAUGAAGUCGGAAUCGCUAGUAAUCGUGGAUCAGAAUGCCACGGUGAAUACGUUCCCGGGCCUUGUACACACCGCCCGUCACACCAUGGGAGUGGGUUGCAAAAGAAGUAGGUAGCUUAACCUUCGGGAGGG